RNAcentral lists this transfer RNA (71 nucleotides) under Lagurus lagurus. Its description in RNAcentral is "tRNA-Asn". It matches the Rfam family "tRNA". Rfam says of the family: Transfer RNA (tRNA) molecules are approximately 80 nucleotides in length. Their secondary structure includes four short double-helical elements and three loops (D, anti-codon, and T loops). The record is from RNAcentral. Lineage: Eukaryota; Metazoa; Chordata; Mammalia; Rodentia; Cricetidae.
UAGAUUGAAGCCAGUUCUUGGGUGUUUAGCUGUUAACUAAAAGUUUAUAGGUUUGAAUCCUAUCAAUCUAG